This 279-nucleotide ribosomal RNA is filed under the name uncultured bacterium. Its description in RNAcentral is "partial 16S ribosomal RNA". It matches the Rfam family "Bacterial small subunit ribosomal RNA", at positions 506 to 784 of the family's 1533-position model. The record is from RNAcentral.
UGCCAGCCGCCGCGGUAAUACGUAGGGUGCAAGCGUUAAUCGGAAUUACUGGGCGUAAAGCGUGCGCAGGCGGUUAUGAAAGACAGAUGUGAAAUCCCUGGGCUCAACCUAGGAAUUGCAUUUGUGACUACAUAACUGGAGUGUGUCAGAGGGAGGUAGAAUUCCACGUGUAGCAGUGAAAUGCGUAGAUAUGUGGAGGAAUACCGAUGGCGAAGGCAGCCUCCUGGGAUAACACUGACGCUCAUGCACGAAGGCGUGGGGAGCAAACAGGAUUAGAUA